ACCGGCUAACUCCGUGCCAGCAGCCGCGGUAAUACGGAGGGUGCGAGCGUUAAUCGGAAUUACUGGGCGUAAAGGGUGCGUAGGUGGUUGAUUAAGUUAUCUGUGAAAUUCCUGGGCUUAACCUGGGACGGUCAGAUAAUACUGGUUGACUCGAGUAUGGGAGAGGGUAGUGGAAUUUCCGGUGUAGCGGUGAAAUGCGUAGAGAUCGGAAGGAACACCAGUGGCGAAGGCGGCUACCUGGCCUAAUACUGACACUGAGGCACGAAAGCGUGGGGAGCAAACAGGAUUAGAUACCCUGGUAGUCCACGCUGUAAACGAUGUCAACUAGC
RNAcentral lists this ribosomal RNA (329 nucleotides) under uncultured Legionella sp. RNAcentral's name for it is "bacterial SSU rRNA". It matches the Rfam family "Bacterial small subunit ribosomal RNA", at positions 492 to 820 of the family's 1533-position model. Lineage: Bacteria; Pseudomonadati; Pseudomonadota; Gammaproteobacteria; Legionellales; Legionellaceae. The record is from RNAcentral.